GGCGGUGUAGCCAAGUGGUAAGGCAAAGGUCUGCAAAACCUAUAUGCGUCGGUUCGAAUCCGAUCACCGCCU
The sequence is a transfer RNA, 72 nucleotides long. It matches the Rfam family "tRNA". From Rfam's summary of the family: Transfer RNA (tRNA) molecules are approximately 80 nucleotides in length. Their secondary structure includes four short double-helical elements and three loops (D, anti-codon, and T loops). The record is from Rfam.